Molecule: long non-coding RNA, 7710 nt
Filed under: Sus scrofa (pig)
Lineage: Eukaryota; Metazoa; Chordata; Mammalia; Artiodactyla; Suidae
Description: lncRNA (ENSSSCG00035002614.1)
Source: RNAcentral
GAGAAAAACAGUGUUCAUUGUGGGAGAUGCACAAGCCUCAUAUGUGCAGAUCUUUCCUUUUCUCUUCUUCCCUCCCUCUCCUUCUACCUUUCCUCUUUCCCUUGUUUCCUCCUUCCCUCUCUUCUUUGUUUCCUUUUUCUCUUUCUGUCACUUGUUUUCUAAGCUCAUAUCGAAUUAUCACUUCUGUAUUUACUAGAUAUUAAACACUGUGCCUUCUUCAUAAUUACGCAUUGAUUGGAUAAGUCCAAGUACAUAUGAAAGAAAAAAGCUCUACAGUGAUAUUUUUUCCUUAUUGAACUUUACAUAGACGUAUGUGAACUGAUCCUAAUGAAAAAACAAUGAUUCCAAAAGUUAGUUAUUUAGGGCAGCAAUAUUGCAGCCAAGAUGAAUUGAAGUAAAUAAUACUGCUACCCUUAUGUAUCACCAACUUUUGUUUCUAUGUUGACUGAACUUUUGAAGUCUGGUCUUCACGUUUUAUCAUGGCAUUUCUGAGUCUAGCAGAAAAAAAGCCUUUCCUUUCCUGUUCACAUAUAUCAUCUUCAGAAUUUCAUCUAGUGUCAUAAUCGUAGGCAUUUAAUCUAGUGUCAUAAACUCUGAUAUUCUGAGAAUUCUAAAGGAAGUGAAUGCUCAUGGAGCCGAGUGUAGCCAGAGUGUGAGAUGUGCAGGUCCCUGUAUAUAAGGUGUUCAUCUGGAGCUCUGAUGCUACAGGACACACAUCAUUCCAUGUGUAGCCAUGACAGGCAGAUGCUAAAGUUUCCUCCCUAAAGCACUUUCCAGUUUCAUAUGAAUCUCCAGAAAACUCCAAUCUUAGGUGCAUUCUUUCAGGAAAGAUAAAAGAGGCCCUUUUAUCAUUUUGGUUUGCAACCAGAAAAUAUUAUAUUCGUUUGCAGCAAGGUGGCAGUGAGUCCUAUCCUCUGCAAAAUGUACUGUAACACUAUCAAGUAAGGGCUAAGACAAGGCACACAAUUGUAAAUUGUUUCCAGGUAAUAUUUUGCAGAGUAUCUCAGUAAAGCCUUUGGUUUUGCAUCAGCUGACUCAGAAUCACUUCUGAAAUAUACAUCUUCCCUUUCAUCUUCCUCUCAUAUUGAAAAUGCUGGAAAAAAAUAAGCUUGUCCUAUAUUUGUUUGAUAGGUCUCUGACAUUAACUUUCUCUGGUUCUUACUAAGGAAAACAUGAAAUGCAGUUGUUUCUAUGUGCUGAAAUAUGCAUGUACUGAACACCCAACAUAGGGGUAUUAAAACGUAUUUUAGAUUUAUAGCCUUCAUUUAGAAAUGUAUUACUUAAAACUUCACUGUGAAGAACUUUUUAGGAUUCAUCAGCCAUGUGUGUGCUCCAUUAUCUAUAAGACUAUUGAAUCUUUCCGUUAAACAUGCUCUCCCAUUUAUUAUUUUUUACUAUUCCUUCCUUCAUUGUUUAUAGAUUUGGAGCUAUCAUAUGGCAGCAACUAUGCUGUGUCCAAAGAGAGAACUGAACUAAAUCAGAAAAAGUAUUUGCUUCCCCCCUACCCUCCGAAUCUGACAGUCUAGUGAGAGAGAUGCAAUCCAAUAUUUCAUAACCAGAUAUAAAGCCACAUUCACUGUUGGAAGAAGUAUGUGGCUCAAAGAGAAGUGUAUGAAAAGGGUUCCACCUGGUCAAGAAGAUCAAGAUGGUGUCUCCAGAUAAGUGCAUUUUGAAUUGGAGAGAUUCCAGGAAGGGAAGAGUUAAAUAGGUGGUGAGGGAGGGAAAAGUAUUUUAGGCAUAAGGAACAGUAUUUAUUCAAUUUCAAAAGUUGUUUCUGAGGUAACAUGGAGGCAACAUCUGUGUUUGUCAUACAUUUUUUCUUUUUAAAAUUUAGAUACAAUUGACAUAUAAAGUAUUAGUUUUAUAUGUAUAACGUAAUGAUGUAUAUAUAAAAUAUUAUAGCAAAAUGAUCAGCACAAUAAGUUUAUCUACCCAUCACUACAUAUAGUUACAAUUUCUUUUUCUUGUGAGAACUUUUAAGAUCUACUCUCUUAAUGGCUUUCAAAUACAUAAUACAGUAUUGAUAACUAUAGUCACCAUGCCAAAAUUUUCAUUUUUUUAUCCAAGGAUAAAAUGUACCUCUAUGGCCUGUUUUAAGAUUAUAAUUAAGCUUAAAUUACAGAGGAUUCAUUAAAUUAAAAAUAUAUUCAUUUACUAAAAAUUUUGUUUCAUCUUUGUCUUUCUUUUGGUCUUCUUUCUUACUUUAUUUCUACCCACUUUUCUAGACAUAAGCCUCUACCAUUAGCCAUUAGGAAAAAAUGGGAUAAGAAAUCAAGAAGUAUGCCAUCCUGCCAUAGGAUAUUGAAGAAAGAUUUUGAAGACAAGCCUCUCAAUUUUUCAACAUCUGUUUUGUUCUAUUCAUUUACAAUCAUCUUUUUCUUUUUCCUAGCACUUUAGAGUAUUCAACCCAGUAGCCUUUGAAAAGCAUGAUUUAUCUUGUUUAUCUUAUUAUAGUUGUUGUCCUUUAAAGAUAUAAGGUUGUGGUCUAUUGGUUGUAUCAAGGAUUCCAGUUCUUCACUCUUCUCUGUUGUGAUGCCUUUGGUCACAUGACUUUGCAGGCUUUCUUACUGUAGGGGUGGAGUUAUUGCCCUGUCCCUUGGGUCUUAGCUGGACUUGGAACUUGCUUUGGCUAAUGAGAUGUCAGCAAAGAUAGCACAGCAGAGGCUGGGAAAAGCCUUUGUGUAUUUCUGCCUGCCUUUGCUCUUCUGCAACUGUCAUGAGAACAGGCCCAGGCUAGCCUCUUGGAAGGUGAGGCAGGUGGAGGGAAGCCAGAUCAUCCCACUUGUCCUGGCUGAUGCCAUCCUCAUCGGCAACAGCUGGGAGAACCUGAGCCAGAAGUGUCCGGCCAAGCCCAGUCCAGCCCACCAGAGUCAAUGACCUGGAGACUUAGGAGCAAAACAUGCUUGUUGUUUUAUGCCACUGGAGUUUUGGGUGGCAUACUGUGCAGCAUUAUUGUGGCUGUAGAAAACUGAACUAGGAGGAAAUUCUUGUUUGUAACUUUAUAAUUUCUUCAUAAUUUCCUUCAAGGGUCCAUAUUUGACUUUCCAGUGAAAGUUAAUAAGAAAACUAUAAAGUAGGUAUUUGGCUCCUAGUGGCUUUUUAGGAGGCUUUAUAUUCUGUGGAGUAUGGUGUCCCUAUAGUUAUUCAUUGAAAGUUUAGGGGGAAAACUCCCUUUUUUUUCUAUAAAUAUAGUAAAUACACAGUUUGUUCCAAUAAAAUGUGUUUUCUUUAUGAAGAAAUUCAGAUAACCACGUGAGUAUGGUCUAAAAAUGAAAAUGCCAUGUGAAAAAAGCAUGGCCAUUCCCUUUAUUAUGACAAGUACACAAAACUAUGCUGGUUUGAAGUUUUCUUGUAUGUAAACUCAUGUUGGUUUUAUUAGUUGUAAAGAAAGUUUUUCAUAUGCCUACUCUUUAGAAAUGUGCCUGCCUUCUUAGGCAUGGAAAUGUGACUACAAUGCCAAGUUUGACAGCUGAUUCUGGAUAACCACUUAAUUCCAUGUUUCUGAAAGGAAGUGACUCUAAAAGCAAACAAAUGGGAAUGCCUUGAGUUAUAAAAAUUAGGGUGCUGUGCACAAGAUCACAUAGUGUGAUGUACAUUUUUAACUGGUUUAUAUUAAAGGAAGUUGUGAGGUUACCAAGAGAACUUUAGAUGUAAUUUGGAUUGUUUUUCCUAGCUACUCAUGUGUAUCUUGCCUUCUCUCUAUCCAAAGUUCACAAAGUGGGAAAACAGCCUAGCCAGUAAAGCUCCCCAGUCCUGGGGGAAAAGGUUGCAGAAUGGGAAUAUGGUAGAAAGAAGCCAUGGGCAUGAGAGAGGCCCUGGCCUCUGAGGAAUGCUUUAUUCUAAUACAGUUCAUACUAUGGAGGUCAUAGCAACUGAUUGUAUAAAAGUAACCUGUUUUUCAGAUUAAUUCCUUUCAUCCAGCACACCGUCUCUGUGGAUGUACAGCUAUUUACAAUGUCUUCUGUUAGUCAAAGAUUUACUUUCAUCUUUGCAUAAUAUUGAAAUGAUUAUUUCAUGAUUAUCCACAUAUUGGAAUACUGUACAUUCAGAAUGAUACCUUUAAAGAAAAUUUUAAUGACUUGAAAAAAAUGCUUUAUGAUGUAGAUGGAAAAGGCCAGUUUUAAAACUGCACAUGUGAUAUAGUCAUAAUUAUAUGCAGGGGCAAUUUAUCUAUUUGUGAUAUGAAAUAUACCUGAAAGAAGUAAUCCAGAGUGCUUACCUCCAUGGGAUGGAUUUAUGAUAGUUUUAUUAAUUUUCUUCACACUUUUUUUAUUUUACAGUUUUAAAAAGUGACUGUAUAAGAAUUGAUGACUUGAUGAUUAGAGAAAUUAACAUAUUAAUGAAAAUAAAUUGGUUUAUAAACACUUUGGGGACGAAGAAUGUGUCUUAUUUUUUGACAAAUCCAAGCACUCCAGCACCCAGUGCUUGGAAGGCUGUAGGGUAAAAAUGAAACAUCCUUGAUGAAUGAAAAGGAGAUCUUAGAUAAGGGCUCAGUUGGCUGAAUAGGGCUUAGGUUUAUAAAGCAGAACACCAAGGCUAUUUUAAGGUGCAGUUAUAAGAAAGCAGCAAUUCUGUUUCUUUAAUAGGCAUUGCCAUCCUUAUCCUAGAAUACCAGGAGCUACCUGAGAUCUGGGAACUAUUUUUUCAUCAGUUGACAACCUUUGAAUUAUUUCUUAAUUGUUUGUGUUUUGUUUUUUUCUGUUGUUAUUCAGGUAUAAUUAUUUCUGAAUGAAGCCUUUGCUUAGAGUAAUAGUAAUCUAAUGAGUAUGUGACCUUAGAGAAACUACAGAUGAAAAAAGAAGCAUUUUUUUCCUGUUUUGAUGAAAACCUCAUUCUUUUCCUGCGAGAAGUCUUCCUUGAUUGCUGCAGCUACUAUUCUGCUCAACUCUCUUCACUAUAUACUGUCUUUCAGCCAAAAGCAAUACAAAACACAAACUUGGUCUUCCAUUCCUUCAUCUUGGUAGUGUUCCCCAGGCAGGAACCCUUGCAUAGAGCUUUAUUUACUUUUCCACUACAGAGUGAAAGCUCUGUGGUGGACAGACAUGCACACAGUUGCUAACUAUGCACUGGGCACUGUUCUAAGCUCUCAGCAUUGAAGAUUUGGAGUUCUCUUUUGGUGCAGCAGGUUAAGUAUCCAGCAUUGUCACUGCAGCAGCUCAGGUCAGGUUAUGGUUCAGGUUCUAUCCCUGGCCCAGGAACUUCCACUUUCUGUGAGUGUGGAAAAAAAAAAAAAAAAGAGUCUGGAGUUCCCACGGUGGCUUAGUGGGUUAAGGACCCAGUGUAGUCUCUGUGAAGAUGCAGGUUCAAUCCCUGGCCUCACUCAGUGAGUUAAGGAUUCAGUGUUGCUGUAAGCUGUGACAUAAGUCAAAGGUGUGGCUCAAAUCUGCUGUUGCUGUGGCUGUGGUGUAGGCCUGCAGCUGCAAGUUUAAUUUGACACCUAGUCUGGGAGCUUCCAUAUGCUGCAGGUGCAGCUGUAAGGGGAAAAAAAUAAUAAAAAAGAUUGGCUUAUUCAGUCUUUAAGCCAUUUUGAGUUUAUUUUUGUGCAUGGUGUGAAGGUGUGUUCUAGUUUCAUUGAUUUACAUGCAGCUGUCCAGUUUUCCCAGAGUCACUUACUGAAGAGACUGUUUUUUUCCUAUUUUAUAUUCUUGCCUUCUUUGUCAAAGAUUAAUUAACCGUAGGUGACUGGGUUUAUUUCUGGGUUCUCUAUUCUGUUCCAUUGGUCUACAUGUCUGUUUUCAUACCAGUACCACACUGUCUUGACUACUGUAGCUUUGUAAUAUUGUCUAAAGUCUGAGAGAGUUAUGCCUCCUGUUUUAUUUUUUUUACCCCCUUAAGGAUUUCUUUGGCACUUCUGGGUCUUUUAUGGCUCCAUAUACAUUUUUGGAUUGCUUGUUCUAGUUCUGUAUAAAGUAUCAUGGGUUAUUUGAUAAGAAUGGCCUUAAAUCUGUAGAUUGCUUCAAGUAGUAUGGCCAUUUUAAUGAUACUAACUAUUACAAACCAGGAGCAUGGAAUAUCUUUCUAUUUUUUUGAAUCCUCAUUAAUUUCCUUGAUUAAUAUUUUAUAGUUCUCAGCAUAUAAGUCUUUCAGGAACAAACCUCCUUGGUCAGGUUUAUUCCUAGGUAUUAAAUUCUUUUGGGUGCAAUCUUAAAAGGUAUUGUAUUUUUAAAAUUCCUUUUAUAGUAUUUCACUGUUAGUAUAUAGAAAUAUAACUGAUUUCUCAAUGUUAGUCUUGUAUCCUGCCACUUUUAUGAUUUCGUUGAUCAGUUCAAAUAGCUUUUGGGUGGAGUCCUUAGGGUUUUCAAUGUAUAGUAUCAUGUAUGUGUAUAAAGUGACAAUCAACCAUACAAAUGUUUUCUUAGGUCAGUCUACCAAGGCAAUAGAAAUAUAAACAAAAAUAUACCAAUGGGACCUAAUCAAACUUCCAAGAUUUUGCACACCAAAGGAACCAUGGUGGUGGUGGGGAGACAAUGUAGAGAAUGGGAGAAAAUAGUUGCAAAUGAUGCCACAAGGGUUUAAUCUCCAAAAUAUACAAACAAUUCAUACAACUCAACAGCAAAAAAACCAAGUAACUCAAUUGGGAAAUGGGCAGAAGACCUCAAUAGAUACUUCUCCAAAGAAGACCUACAGAUGGCCAAUAGGCCUAUGAAAAAAUGCUCAACACGACUAAUUAUUAGAGAAAUGCAAAUCAAAGCUAUGAUGAGGUACCACCUCACACUUGUCGGAAUGGCUGUCAUUCAUAAGUCUACAAAUAGCAAAUGCUGGAGAGGGUGUGGAGAAAAGGGAACCUUCCCACGCUGUUGGUGAGAAUAUAAAUUUGUUCAACCACUAUGGAAAACAUUAUGGAGGUAUCCCAGAAAAUUAGAUAUAAACCUACCAUAUGAUCCAGCAAUCCCACUUCUGGGCAUAUAUCCAGACAUAAUUUUCAUUAAAAAAAUAUACACACACUCCUAUGUUCAUUGCAGUGCUAUUCACAAUAGUGAAGGCUUGGAAACAACCUAAAUGGAAUAUUAUUCAGCCAUAAUAACAACCAUUAAGUCAUUUGUUGCAACAUGGAUGUAGUAGAGAUUCUCAUACUAAAUGAAGUCAGAAAGAGAAAGACAAAUAUCAUAUAUCACUUAUAUCUGUAAUCUAAAUUAUGGUACAAAUGAACCUAUCUACAGAAAAGAAAUAAACUCAUGGACAUGGAGAACAGACUUGAUGUUGCCAAGGGGAGGGGGAGGGAGUGGGAUGGACUGGGAGUUUAGGGUUAGUAGAUACAAACAAUUGCAUUUAUAGUGAAUAAGCAAUGAGGUCCUGCUGUAUAGCACAGGGAACCGUAUACAAUCACCUGUAAUGGAACAUGAUGUAAGAUUAUAUGAGAAAAAGAGUGCAUAUAUAUAGUAUAACUGGGUCACUUUACUGUAUAGCAGAAAUUGACAGAACAUUGUAAAUCAACUAUUAAAAAAAACAAAAACAGAGACUGAAAAGGGAGAAGAGUCAUAAUAUUUGACAAGCUUGAGAGAAAAGUUUGAAAACUUCAUCCUACAUUAAAUGGUAAGUCACAAGCAAAUGAGAUUUAGUUAUUGUUUGAAUUACUCAAGGGAACAUGAGUGGCUGUACCUUUGGGAUGAGUGUAUGUAUGUGGGUAUGUUAAAACACCUUCUCUUGUGUUGUAGGGAGAGGUAAACAUUUCUGUCCAUUUUCUUAACUUUGCAUUUUAGUUUAGUUCCU